This is a long non-coding RNA of Triticum dicoccoides, 140 nucleotides long. RefSeq lists it as uncharacterized. The record is from RefSeq and is a predicted model, not a curated record. Lineage: Eukaryota; Viridiplantae; Streptophyta; Magnoliopsida; Poales; Poaceae. The transcript is spliced from 3 exons.
AAGAAAAAGGUUUUGGGGCAAGUGCUUAUAAGGUGGAUUGGAACCCACCUUCGAAAGAAGAAGGUUUUGGGGCAAGUGCUUAUAAGGUGGACUGGAACCCACCUUCGAAAGAAAAAGGUUUUGGGGCAAGUGCUUAUAAG